RNAcentral lists this small nuclear RNA (141 nucleotides) under Cebus imitator (Panamanian white-faced capuchin). RNAcentral's name for it is "U4 spliceosomal RNA (ENSCCAG00000009824.1)". It matches the Rfam family "U4 spliceosomal RNA". Rfam says of the family: U4 small nuclear RNA (U4 snRNA) is a component of the major U2-dependent spliceosome. The record is from Rfam by way of RNAcentral. Lineage: Eukaryota; Metazoa; Chordata; Mammalia; Primates; Cebidae.
AGCUUUGUGCAGUGGCAGUAUCAUAGCUAAUGAGGUUUAUCUGAGGCGCAAUUAUUGCUAAUUGAAUACUUUUCCCAAUACCCCACUGUGAUGACCUACCAUAUAGUUGGCACUGGCAAUUUUUGACAGCCUCUACAGAGA